RNAcentral lists this ribosomal RNA (253 nucleotides) under uncultured bacterium. Its description in RNAcentral is "partial 16S ribosomal RNA". It matches the Rfam family "Bacterial small subunit ribosomal RNA", at positions 524 to 776 of the family's 1533-position model. The record is from RNAcentral.
UACGAAGGGGGCUAGCGUUGUUCGGAAUUACUGGGCGUAAAGCGCACGUAGGCGGAUCAGAAAGUUGGGGGUGAAAUCCCAGGGCUCAACCCUGGAACGGCCUCCAAAACUCCUGGUCUUGAGUUCGAGAGAGGUGAGUGGAAUUCCGAGUGUAGAGGUGAAAUUCGUAGAUAUUCGGAGGAACACCAGUGGCGAAGGCGGCUCACUGGCUCGAUACUGACGCUGAGGUGCGAAAGUGUGGGGAGCAAACAGG